UCUGGUUGAUCCUGCCAGUAGUGAUAUGCUUGUUUCAAAGAUUAAGCCAUGCAUGUCUAAGUAUAAGCGAACUUAUACAGUGAAACUGCGGAUGGCUCAUUAAAACAGUUUGAAUUUAUUUGAUGAAUGUAUGAGAAUACUACUUGGAUAACCGUAGUAAUUCUAGAACUAAUACAUGCAACGACGCCCGACCGUUUCAUUACGGAAGGGCUGUAUUUAUUGGAUACCAAAACCAUCCUUCCCUCGGGAAGUUUUGUUUGAUGAUUCGCAAUAACUGAUCGGAUCGCCACUGUGGUGGCGACAGGUCAUUCAACAUUCUGCCCUAUCAGCUUUCGAUGGUUGUGUAGUGGACAACCAUGGCCAUAACGGGUAACGGAGAAUCAGGGUUCGAUUCCGGAGAAGGAGCUUGAGAAUUGGCUACUACAUCUAAGGAAGGCAGCAGGCGCGCAAAUUACCCAAUCCCGAUUCGGGGAGGUAGUGACAAAAAAUAACAAUACCGGGCCUUUUUGGGCUUGGUAAUUGGAAUGAGGGAGAGUUAAACGGACCAUCGAGUAUCCAUUGGAGGGCAAGUCUGGUGCCAGCAGCUGCGGUAAUACCAGCUCCAAUAGCGUAUAUUAAAGUUGUUGCAGUUAAAAAGCUCGUAGUUGGACUUGUGUGCGCUGUCCGCGGGUGGCCUGCGCCCAAAAGGGCGUUUCGGUUCGGCCCCGGUGGCGCCUUGAAAUCUGCAGCUGGGGGGACGUUGGCCUUAACUGGUCGGCGACCGCACGCCGGCUGCUCGGUUACUGUGAGAAAAUUAGAGUGUUCAAGGCAGGCAUUGGGUGCAAUUGAAUACAUUAGCAUGGAAUAAUAAAAUAUGGCUCCUGCCGUAUUUUGUUGGUUUUGACUGGUGGGAGUAAUGAUUGAUAGGGACGGUUGGGGGUGCUAGUAUUGAGCGGCCAGAGGUGAAAUUCAUGGAUUCGCUCAAGACUAACUCAUGCGAAAGCAUUCACCAAGGACGUCCUCUUUAAUCAAGAACGAAAGUUGGGGGAUCGAAGACGAUUAGAUACCGUCGUAGUCUCAACCAUAAACUAUGUCGACUUGGGAUCGGCGGUAGUUUUUUCAUUAAGGCACUGUCGGGACCACGGGAGAAAUCAAAGUGUCUGGACUCUGGGGGAAGUAUGGUCGCAAGGCUGAAACUUGAAGGAAUUGACGGAAGGGCACCACCAGGAGUGGAGCCU
RNAcentral lists this ribosomal RNA (1217 nucleotides) under metagenome. RNAcentral describes it as "SSU rRNA". It matches the Rfam family "Eukaryotic small subunit ribosomal RNA", at positions 1 to 1184 of the family's 1831-position model. The record is from RNAcentral.